GGGUUUUGGGCAUUAUGAGAGGUCAUGCAAGAGCCACAAAGCUUGGGUUGUCAAUCCCCUUUAUCCUCCCUUUUGAUCGCUUCUUGACGAUCCCAUGACCAUGUUGGGCACCUCACAUGGCUGACCCUGGCAUUUGCUACAUAAACUUCGGUUAGUAAGUUUUGGUGUUUCUAUAUUUCCUUUUUGAUUCGGUUUUCGACUUAUACUAAAAGAGUAUCCCGUGUCCGUUUCACCAAGGAUAUGGAUGCCUUCCACCCGAGGCAUACCACCCUAUUAAAUAGUCAGGCUUCUGCCCCCAUUUUAUGCACCCUGGUGAUGUGCUACUAAUAACCAAAUGGACAAGCCCCACGGGAGAGACUCAUUGGUGUGGGUAAGAAAAAUAGGUUUUGUAGAUUAUUGGGCAUUGCCUAUUUGC
This 415-nucleotide long non-coding RNA is filed under the name Hordeum vulgare. RNAcentral describes it as "long non-coding RNA (HVUL_LNC021548)". Lineage: Eukaryota; Viridiplantae; Streptophyta; Magnoliopsida; Poales; Poaceae. The record is from RNAcentral.